CGAACGAGCUUCUGUUGAAUUCAACAUGGCAGCUUGCACAUCCGUGCGAAAAAUAGAUUUUACCAUUCUCUCUUCAUGUAUUAAUUGUCUUUAAAACAUAUAAAAUCUUUAUUCGGGUUUUUAUUUGUGUAUUUGUUAUCAUCCCCUAUGUACCUCCAAUAUUUGAAUUGAAAACAAAUCCUGAUUAGCGAGAUUAGGCUCUUUCUCAGGACACACUGCAUGCUCUGCCUGGCUGGACCUGCUGCAAGAGAUUCAUCGCCGCCCGGACCAUCCCGAUCGAUCCCCAGCCUUGGGCCCAUGGGCAUUCGCUCAGCUCCGAUGGAAAUAGCAGAAGAUCAUGUCUUUCAUGAGGCUACUGUCAUUUAAGCGAUUACCACUGCAGCGAGUCACUCCUUGGGUUGCAGUGACCGACUGGGAUCAACUUCAGAGACAAAGUUACCUUGUAUCAGCUAGACCAUGUCUUUGUUUCUUCUCAAACACAACUCAUCCUAGCAAUGAUAAGCCAAAGACAAGAUGUCGUAGGCAGCGAGAAGAAGCAUUUCAAGUGAAGCUUGGCUAUGCAUUACUCAAGCAGGGUGGAGUAAAUCUACUGCGACAGGCCAAGAAGAAGGGGGCCAAUGAUUUCGAAGAGACAAAGAAGAAAGUUCAAGAGCAGGUUGAAAAGAGCAAGAUUAAAGUAAAGGAAUUGAGAGAGAACAUUUUCACGAUCCCAAACUUGCUGACGACGAUGCGGCUAGCUCUGUCUCCUUACAUUGGUUACCUUGUGAUCAAUGAGCAGUAUUUACUCGGAUCUUCACUCUUUCUUCUCGCUGGGCUAUCUGAUCUGCUAGAUGGGUGGAUAGCAAGGAAUUUUGAAAAUCAGCAAUCCGUACUUGGUUCAAUAAUUGAUCCUCUGGCUGAUAAAUGUCUCAUCAGUAUUCUCACUGUCAGCUUGACCUAUAGUGACCUUAUUCCAUUACCCCUGACGGCUCUAAUUAUCCUGAGGGAUAUAGGUCUCAUGUCUGCUGCCUUUUACCUACGCUAUCAAUCCUUACCACCUCCAAUUACAUUAAGAAGGUACUUUGAUCUCACUCAUGCUACUGUACAGAUGAAGCCUACAUUUAUAAGUAAGGUUAAUACUGCAGUCCAGUUAUCUCUUGUUGGAUUCACUCUCGUUGCCCCUGUCUUUGCCUUCACAGAUCAUCCAUUUCUUCAUGGUUUAUGGUAUGUGACGGCCUCUACUACAGUAUUAUCUGGUCUGAGUUAUUGCUUCUCUCGAGAUGUCUUCAAAUACUUAAACAGGAAUAGAUGAUGAACCCUGUGCAGCACCUUUGAAUACAUCCCCUGAAUAGCAUUGUGAGAGGAAUCUUGAAAGAAAUCGUUUCUCCA
RNAcentral lists this unclassified non-coding RNA (1368 nucleotides) under Lytechinus variegatus (green sea urchin). RNAcentral's name for it is "probable cardiolipin synthase (CMP-forming), transcript variant X2". Lineage: Eukaryota; Metazoa; Echinodermata; Echinoidea; Temnopleuroida; Toxopneustidae. The record is from RNAcentral.